UACGUAGGGUGCGAGCGUUGUCCGGAAUUAUUGGGCGUAAAGAGCUCGUAGGUGGUUUGUCGCGUUGUCCGUGAAAACUCACAACUCAAUUGUGGGCGUGCGGGCGAUACGGGCAGACUGGAGUACUGCAGGGGAGACUGGAAUUCCUGGUGUAGCGGUGGAAUGCGUAGAUAUCGAGAGGAACACCUGCGGCGAAGGCGGGUUGCUGGGCUGACACUGACGCUGAACUGCGAAAGCUAGGGGAGCGAACGGG
This 253-nucleotide ribosomal RNA is filed under the name uncultured bacterium. RNAcentral's name for it is "partial 16S ribosomal RNA". It matches the Rfam family "Bacterial small subunit ribosomal RNA", at positions 524 to 776 of the family's 1533-position model. The record is from RNAcentral.